This 556-nucleotide ribosomal RNA is filed under the name Cryptosporidium parvum. RNAcentral describes it as "SSU rRNA". It matches the Rfam family "Eukaryotic small subunit ribosomal RNA", at positions 770 to 1333 of the family's 1831-position model. The record is from RNAcentral. Lineage: Eukaryota; Apicomplexa; Conoidasida; Eucoccidiorida; Cryptosporidiidae.
AGUGCUUAAAGCAGGCAACUGCCUUGAAUACUCCAGCAUGGAAUAAUAAGUAAGGACUUUUGUCUUUCUUAUUGGUUCUAGGACAAAAGUAAUGGUUAAUAGGGACAGUUGGGGGCAUUCGUAUUUAACAGCCAGAGGUGAAAUUCUUAGAUUUGUUAAAGACGAACUACUGCGAAAGCAUUUGCCAAGGAUGUUUUCAUUAAUCAAGAACGAAAGUUAGGGGAUCGAAGACGAUCAGAUACNGUCGUAGUCUUAACCAUAAACUAUGCCGACUAGAGAUUGGAGGUUGUUCCUUACUCCUUCAGCACCUUAUGAGAAAUCAAAGUCUUUGGGUUCUAGGGGGAGUAUGGUCGCAAGGCUGAAACUUAAAGGAAUUGACGGAAGGGCACCACCAGGAGUGGAGCCUGCGGCUUAAUUUGACUCAACACGGGAAAACUCACCAGGUCCAGACAUAGGAAGGAUUGACAGAUUGAUAGCUCCUUCUUGAUUCUAUGGGCGGCUNNUGCAUGGCCGUUCUUAGUUGGUGGAGUGAUUUGUCUGGUUAAUUCCGUUAACG